This 74-nucleotide transfer RNA is filed under the name Patescibacteria group bacterium. RNAcentral describes it as "tRNA-Gln". It matches the Rfam family "tRNA". From Rfam's summary of the family: Transfer RNA (tRNA) molecules are approximately 80 nucleotides in length. The record is from RNAcentral.
UCCGGGAUCGUCUAACGGCAGGACAUCAGGUUCUGGACCUGAGAAUCAAGGUUCGAAUCCUUGUCCCGGAACCA